Molecule: ribosomal RNA, 253 nt
Filed under: uncultured bacterium
Lineage: Bacteria
Description: partial 16S ribosomal RNA
Rfam family: Bacterial small subunit ribosomal RNA
Source: RNAcentral
UACAGAGGGUGCGAGCGUUAAUCGGAAUUACUGGGCGUAAAGUGUGCGCAGGCGGCCGAGCAAGUCGAGUGUGAAAUCCCCGAGCUUAACUUGGGAAUUGCGCUCGAAACUACGUGGCUGGAGUGUGGCAGAGGAAGGUGGAAUUCCACGUGUAGCGGUGAAAUGCGUAGAUAUGUGGAGGAACACCGAUGGCGAAGGCAGCCUUCUGGGCCAACACUGACGCUCAUGCACGAAAGCGUGGGGAGCAAACAGG